CGUCAUUUUUCACAGUCGCAUGAUGGGCCGUACUCUAAGGGGAACAAGGACUCAACGGGGCCAGACAACUCACUCACAUCCAGAAGACAAAGCAUCCCAGAACUGCGUGGGGUUACACUGGUUGAGCUGAUUAAGAAGGAAGGAAGCACUUUAGGUCUCACCAUCUCGGGCGGAACAGACAAGGAUGGCAAACCACGCGUCUCCAACCUGCGGCCGGGUGGACUGGCGGCUAGGAGCGAUCAGCUCAAUGUGGGCGACUACAUCAAGUCAGUCAAUGGGAUCAACCUGACCAAGCUGCGUCACGACGAGAUCAUCAGUCUGCUAAAAAACGUAGGCGAGCGCGUCGUGCUGGAAGUGGAGUAUGAACUGCCUUCACCUGGUAGGAAGUUGAACAGUACCUCAGGUGUUAUUUCCAAGACAAUCGAGAUCUGUUUGCAGAAAGAGGGCAACAGUUUCGGCUUUGUUAUGCGAGGUGGAUCCCAUGAGGACUGGCACAGAUCUCGUCCUUUGGUGGUCACACACGUCCGACCUGGUGGUCCUGCUGACAGGGAAGGGACCCUAAAAGCAGGCGAUCGGAUCUUAAGUGUGGAUGGUGUGGUUUUACACAGUGCUAUUCUGAGCGAUGCUCUUACAGUACUGACUCAGUGUGGCCAGGAGGCCCUGUUCCAGAUAGAGUAUGAUGUCUCCAUCAUGGACUCGAUGACAAACGCUUCAGGUCCUCUGCUGGUGGAGAUUGCCAAGGCGCCCGGAGCCAGUCUGGGAAUCACUCUGACCACUGCCAUGCACAGGAACAAACAGGCCAUCGUCAUCGACAAGAUCAAGCCCGCCAGUGUGGUGGACAGGUCUGGAGCGUUACACGUGGGUGAUCAUAUCCUGUCUAUAGACGGCACCAGCACAGAGCACUGCUCCGUCCUGGAGGCCACGCAGCUGCUGGCCAGCACUACUGAUCAGACCAAACUAGAGAUCCUCCCCGCACACCAAACACGCCUGCCUGGGAAACCCCAGGACACUGUGAAAGUUCAGAAAAGUGACCACCCGCACUGCUGGGACCCCUGUGUGAACUACUGCCAUUCUCAACAUCCUGGUCACUGUAAGACGUCGACAUGGACCUCUGCUUCCAGUAACCCAUCCAGUUCUCAGGAUUACUGCAAAUCGGUAGUCUGCACUAACUUCUCUCCUGGGUCCACAACCACAUCAGGCAUGACCAGCCAGGGUUCCAGCACGCUGCCCCGGGCUGCUCCUCCCAUGAGCCCACGGAACUCCAUGCUAAAGAGACGACAAAGGAAAAAAGAGCACAAAAGCUCCUCUGUGUCUUUAGCCUCAAGUUCUGUGGGCCCUGGUGGUCAGAUCGUCCACACCGAGUCCAGUGAGGUCACUCUGAGAGGAGACCCUCUAAAUGGGUUUGGGGUUCAGCUGCAAGGUGGAAUAUUUGCGACAGAGACCCUCUCUGCACCCCCUCUUAUCCGCUUCAUAGAACCGGACAGCUCGGCCGAAAGAACGAGAGUUGGAGAUCGCAGAUCGCACAUAAACUUUGUGUCAGCACUUCCCCCCAGUAAGAAACCAGGAGAGCCUCUUAUCAUAUCUGACAUUAAAAAAGGCAGCAUGGCACACAGAACAGGAACUCUGGAGCCCGGAGACAAGCUGCUGGCCAUAGAUAACAUCCGUCUGGAGAACUGCUGCAUGGAGGACGCCGUCCAGAUCCUCCAGCAGAGCGAAGACCUGGUCAAACUCAAAAUCCGCAAGGAUGAGGACAACUCAGACGAGCAGGAGUCGUCCGGCUCCAUCAUCUACACGGUGGAGCUGAAGCGCUACGGCGGCCCGCUGGGCAUCACCAUCUCCGGCACCGAGGAGCCCUUUGACCCCAUCAUCAUCUCAGGCCUGACCAAGAGGGGUCUCGCUGAGAGGACUGGAGCCAUUCACGUUGGCGAUCGUAUUCUGGCCAUCAACAGCGUCAGUCUGAAGGGGAAGCCGCUCAGUGAAGCCAUACACCUGCUGCAGAUGGCAGGAGAAACCGUCACCCUCAAGAUCAAGAAGCAGACCGACAAGAACGAUCUGGAUAACGAGCUCAGCGAUAACGAGGACGACAUGACCGACUCGCAGAAGACCAACAAACUGUCGGACAUUUAUUCCACCACCAUCCCCAGCGUGGAUUCGGCCAUGGAGUCGUGGGACGGCUCGGGAAUCGACGGCGGUUACAGCAGCCAAGGUGGCUACACGCAUCAGGCCGCUGGGAUUGCGCUACACCCUCACGAGUGGCGUAACAGCAAGCAGAGGAACAGCACACCUCCUCCGUCCCGCCACAAGAACUAUCCCUUCAGUGACGCGGGAUUCAGUGAGGACGACUGGGACAAAGCUGCCGGAUACAGCAGCCAGCCGCAUGCCGACGGCCUCAUGAUGGAGCAGGAGGACAGUUUCUGGUGCCAGGCCCUGGAAGACCUGGAGACCUGCGGCCAGUCCGAGCUCCUGCGCGAGAUCGAGGCGUCAAUAAUGACCGGCAGCGCCCUGAGUUUGGGUGUAGAGGGUGGAAAGGCCCACGGCGAGACGGUCAGCCAACCUCACCUCAGCCCUCUGAGAAAAGCCCCACAUCUCCUCAACGAAACCAAGAACAAGAGCACGCUCCGUAUGUCCGAGAAGACCUGGGAGUCACGGAGGAUCAAAGAAGAGAUCCAGGACAUCCUGUCGCCCACACCGUUAGAGCUGCACAAGGUGACUGUGAUGAAGGACCCAGAGAGCGAUGACUUUGGAUUCAGCGUAUCGGACGGGUUCUUGGAAAAGGGUGUUUGCGUGAACAUGAUCAGGCCUGAAGGUCCGGCGGACCGUGCUGGACUCAAACCGUACGACAGGAUCCUUCAGGUGCCUCUUCUCAGAUCACCACUAGCUGGUUUCCCUGCGUCCCCUCCCUUUCCCCAGCUAUAUGAUCUGCCCAGUAUGAGAGCAUUCAAUAGGCCUUUGACUCUGGGAGGACAUGUCGAGUUAAAAAGUGAUUCGGCUGGAUCUUCUGCGUGGCUACACAGCACUUGUGGUCAAAUCUUAGAGAGCGUCCCCCUCUCGCUAAUCUGCCACACUUCACUGGCUGUGGAAAUGAUUAAAUCUGUCUAA
This is a long non-coding RNA of Sinocyclocheilus grahami, 3099 nucleotides long. Ensembl annotates it as glutamate receptor-interacting protein 2-like. The record is from Ensembl. NCBI's taxonomy places the organism in Eukaryota, Metazoa, Chordata, Actinopteri, Cypriniformes, Cyprinidae.